CAGGAACAAAGUGAGUGCAGCCAUGCGUCAUGCAACAACAGGAAGGUUUCCUCCUCUCUCUCGCUGCGUAGCUCCCCUCCAAGUUACAGGAGUGUCUGGUACUCUCUCCAAGGGUGGAGGAUUAUGGAUGUGGAACACUGCAUAUCACAUUUGACGUGGUUAAUAUUUUGGGCCAUGGUGGUAAAGAAAACCACAAAAUGAUGAUGUUGCUCAAGGCCGUUAAAUGCCAUCAAGAUGUUGACAAGAUAAAGCUUCAUUUUCUGUGGAAAAGAGACCAAUUUGCAUCUUGCAUGGAAUUCUUUUUAAAAUUUUUUUCAUUUAUUUUGUUUGAAAAUCACCUACAUUUCAGAAUGUAUCCUUCCCUCUCCCAGAUAGUUAUUCCUUAUAACAAAGAAUAAAAAAGAGAAAAAAAUCAGGAAAAAUUAACCAAAACAUCAAUCAAGUCCAAUGUUACAUGUAGUAUUCCAUAUUCGUAGGCCCCUACCUCUACAAAAAUGGGAGGUGAAAUGGCAGGUAUUUUUAAAUAUUUUUUUGGGGGGGACCAAACAAUGUCCUGUUUUGAUCGUUUACUCAUUCUUUCCAUUUACAUUAAUUUUUUGCACUGUUUCUCUGAUUCUGCUUAUUUUGCAUCAUAAAAUUCUCGUGCUUCCCUAUAUUAACCAUAAC
Molecule: long non-coding RNA, 666 nt
Organism: Vombatus ursinus (common wombat)
Lineage: Eukaryota; Metazoa; Chordata; Mammalia; Diprotodontia; Vombatidae
Exons: 3
Source: RefSeq, a predicted model, not a curated record